This 597-nucleotide ribosomal RNA is filed under the name Bacillus sp. CH51b_2b. RNAcentral describes it as "bacterial SSU rRNA". It matches the Rfam family "Bacterial small subunit ribosomal RNA", at positions 51 to 632 of the family's 1533-position model. Lineage: Bacteria; Bacillati; Bacillota; Bacilli; Caryophanales; Bacillaceae. The record is from RNAcentral.
AUACUGCAAGUCGAGCGGACUUUUAAAGCUUGCUUUUGAAAGGUCAGCGGCGGACGGGUGAGUAACACGUGGGCAACCUGCCUGUAAGACUGGGAUAACUUCGGGAAACCGGAGCUAAUACCGGAUAAUAUAAGGAACCUCCUGGUUCUUUAUUGAAAGAUGGUUUCGGCUAUCACUUACAGAUGGGCCCGCGGCGCAUUAGCUAGUUGGUGAGGUAAUGGCUCACCAAGGCGACGAUGCGUAGCCGACCUGAGAGGGUGAUCGGCCACACUGGGACUGAGACACGGCCCAGACUCCUACGGGAGGCAGCAGUAGGGAAUCUUCCACAAUGGACGAAAGUCUGAUGGAGCAACGCCGCGUGAGCGAUGAAGGCCUUCGGGUCGUAAAGCUCUGUUGUUAGGGAAGAACAAGUGCGAGAGUAACUGCUCGCACCUUGACGGUACCUAACCAGAAAGCCACGGCUAACUACGUGCCAGCAGCCGCGGUAAUACGUAGGUGGCAAGCGUUGUCCGGAAUUAUUGGGCGUAAAGCGCGCGCAGGUGGUCCUUUAAGUCUGAUGUGAAAGCCCACGGCUCAACCGUGGAGGGUCAUUGGAAA